This is a long non-coding RNA of Talpa occidentalis (Iberian mole), 406 nucleotides long. RefSeq lists it as uncharacterized. The record is from RefSeq and is a predicted model, not a curated record. The transcript is spliced from 3 exons. Lineage: Eukaryota; Metazoa; Chordata; Mammalia; Eulipotyphla; Talpidae.
CCUAGGACUAGAAACAUCUCUGACAGGACCUUGGGAUAAUGACAUAUGGCUAAUUUAGUUUCCAGAGUGUCCUGCCCACAGCUUCAGCCCAGUGAGAAGCAUGGAAUGUCUGUCAUCAACACCACCAAGAAAUCAAGAAACAUUGCAUGUGUGCUUGUGGGUAUAUGACAAAACACACCAAGGGAUCAACAUGAGAAAGACCUGGAAUUCAUUCAUUUACAUGUCUGAAGACUAAAUUGACUGGAGACCAUCCAUCCAUGUAACCGACAAUCCAUGUUUUAGUCCGGAACAAGAUUGUAAGUCCAAUAUUGAUUUCAAGAGAUGCUUAUUCAUUCAACAAAUAUUUAUUAGGCAUCUAUUAUGUAUCAAACAGUAUUUAGGUGUUGAAACACAGCAAUGAACAAAA